UCGUGCAUUAUUCCAUUUUAAUGAUUUCACUCACUCAUUAAAAUUUUUAAAUUUAAACUCGAGACGAUAUACAAGUUAUGUUAUUAUCAUUUCAUUUCACUUCGCCGCAGUUCUCCCUCUUAUCUAGGUGUAAAAAUAUUCAUAAAUUUUGAAAUAUUAGGAAAAAAGUUGUGAUUUAGUUAAAAGUUCUUAGUUAGAUAAUUUUAUGACUUUCAAGUCAAAAAUAUAUGUAUCAUUUUAAAAAAAUUAAUUUUCAGAACAAGGUUUUCGUUUUAUACGGGAACAAAAUGAAAAAAUUGCUUCAAACCUACAACUUGAUAAAAAAUCAGGACUGUAAUAUUACACAACAUAUGACUUUUCAUAUGAAUCAUCUGCAGUUAUAAUUAUUUAUAUUAUAAAUUUAAAAGGGCUGGAACAAGGGUUAUGUAUAGACAGCUGAUUAAACUGUCUCAAUUUUUAAAAUAUAAAUUCAUGAAAAAACUGUUACAUUGUUCAACGUGCUGCAAAUUUAUUCAAGAUGAUGGAUGUUCUGUUAAAAAAUAAUUAAAAAAUGUUUUAUAACUAUUUUCAUUAAAAACAUGAUUGCUAGGAGGGUUGAAAUCGUGGAUAUGGUCACGUGCCAAUUUUUUAAGACCCCCACUUCAUCAACUGUUAAUUUUUUUAAUUUUUAGCUCUUUUUAUUUUUUUCCGUAUUCCUGUAAUGUUAAUAAAUAACUAAUAAAAAAAUGUACGGUAAAAUUAUUAAUUGCUUUUUUUUAUGACACUUCAAAAAUUACCUGAAAUUAAUGCACCUAGACUAGAAUACCCCCUUAAGUUAUAAUCAUAGUACAGAAAAAAAAUGCUGAUACAAGAAAGCUGU
Long non-coding RNA from Daktulosphaira vitifoliae (grape phylloxera), 859 nucleotides. RefSeq lists it as uncharacterized. NCBI's taxonomy places the organism in Eukaryota, Metazoa, Arthropoda, Insecta, Hemiptera, Phylloxeridae. The record is from RefSeq and is a predicted model, not a curated record. The transcript has 4 exons.